This is a long non-coding RNA of Poecilia latipinna (sailfin molly), 257 nucleotides long. RefSeq lists it as uncharacterized. The record is from RefSeq and is a predicted model, not a curated record. The transcript has 3 exons. Lineage: Eukaryota; Metazoa; Chordata; Actinopteri; Cyprinodontiformes; Poeciliidae.
AAGUGUGAGACAUGAUUUAUUUGAAUAGAGGAAGUCUUUUAUUUUGAAGAAUGCUUAACAGGAUCUGGUUCUGUUUUGUCACUAUCUUGCUUUUGUUGAAUUUUGGUUGCUAGGUUACAAACAGCUGUUGCCUUAUCAGCUGUUGCCGUUUUUUCUCUUCAAUAAAAACUGAACAGAAAGGUUCAGUAAAAGACAUACGAGCCUCCGUCUUGUUUGAAGAAGCUUUACUCCAUAACAGAUGCAAGUUAAUUCUGUGU